AGUGUCCUGGUUCCUGCAGCGGCAGCAACAGCAGGUCCUACUAUCGCCUCCCUCUAGUCUCUGCUUCUCUGGAUCCCUGAGGAGGGCAGAAGGUACUGAGGAAGGUUAAAGGGACCAGCCUUGGAGUAUUUCCCCGCUCUGAGACUCAGCUGGCCACAGGCCAGGUUCUGAAGUUCCUUUCUUCCAAGCCAGUGAUUCUGGUUCUUGGACAAGGUGUUGAGGAACACUAGAAACAGAGGGGACUGUGACCUGGGGACUUUUUCUGCAGGAAGAAAACAGCCCAAAGAUGAGAGUGAUUCGCGUGGGUACCCGCAAGAGCCAGCUUGCUCGCAUACAGACGGACAGUGUGGUGACAACAUUGAAAGCCUCAUACCCUGGCCUGCAGUUUGAAAUCAUUGCUAUGUCCACCACAGGGGACAAGAUUCUUGAUACUGCACUCUCUAAGAUUGGAGAGAAAAGCCUGUUUACCAAGGAGCUUGAACAUGCCCUGGAGAAGAAUGAAGUGGACCUGGUUGUUCACUCCUUGAAGGACCUGCCCACUGUGCUUCCUCCUGGCUUCACCAUCGGAGCCAUCUGCAAGCGGGAAAACCCUCAUGAUGCUGUUGUCUUUCACCCAAAAUUUGUUGGGAAGACCCUAGAAACCCUGCCAGAGAAGAGUGUGGUGGGAACCAGCUCCCUGCGAAGAGCAGCCCAGCUGCAGAGAAAGUUCCCGCAUCUGGAGUUCAGGAGUAUUCGGGGAAACCUCAACACCCGGCUUCGGAAGCUGGACGAGCAGCAGGAGUUCAGUGCCAUCAUCCUGGCAACAGCUGGCCUACAGCGCAUGGGCUGGCACAACCGGGUGGGGCAGAUCCUGCACCCUGAGGAAUGCAUGUAUGCUGUGGGCCAGGUACACUUGACCAGGGAAGCCACAUGGUGACAUAUGCCUUCCCUUUGUUCUCAACCAAGAAGCUUGUCUCACAACCUUCUGCAUCUGCUUCCCCAGAAUAGCAUUCUCAGGGAGGGGCAGGCCUUGGGAUGCUACCGGUCCAAAAGGCGCUGGGGAGCAAGUAGAUAGAGGUGGUCCCAUGCUUUGCGCCAUUGGUUGGGGAAAGAUCAGGCCUGAUGUCCUAGGAUGUUUUUCCAUCAGGGAGCCUUGGGCGUGGAAGUCCGAGCCAAGGACCAGGACAUCUUGGAUCUGGUGGGUGUGCUGCACGAUCCUGAGACUCUGCUUCGCUGCAUCGCUGAAAGGGCCUUCCUGAGGCACCUGGAAGGAGGCUGCAGUGUGCCAGUAGCCGUGCAUACAGCUAUGAAGGAUGGGCAACUGUACCUGACUGGAGGAGUCUGGAGUCUAGACGGCUCAGAUAGCAUACAAGAGACCAUGCAGGCUACCAUCCAUGUCCCUGCCCAGCAUGAAGAUGGCCCUGAGGAUGACCCACAGUUGGUAGGCAUCACUGCUCGUAACAUUCCACGAGGGCCCCAGUUGGCUGCCCAGAACUUGGGCAUCAGCCUGGCCAACUUGUUGCUGAGCAAAGGAGCCAAAAACAUCCUGGAUGUUGCACGGCAGCUUAACGAUGCCCAUUAACUGGUUUGUGGGGCACAGAUGCCUGGGUUGCUGCUGUCCAGUGCCUACAUCCCGGGCCUCAGUGCCCCAUUCUCACUGCUAUCUGGGGACUGAUUACCCCAGGAGACUGAACUGCAGGGUUCAAGCCUUCCAGGGAUUUGCCUCACCUUGGGGCCUUGAUGACUGCCUUGCCUCCUCAGUAUGUGGGGGCUUCAUCUCUUUAGAGAAGUCCAAGCAACAGCCUUUGAAUGUAACC
This 1796-nucleotide small RNA is filed under the name Pan troglodytes (chimpanzee). Its description in RNAcentral is "retained intron". The record is from RNAcentral. Lineage: Eukaryota; Metazoa; Chordata; Mammalia; Primates; Hominidae.